CCCAUUACAAAGUCAAUCUGAUCGAAGUCGAAGAGUACAAAAGUGGUUUGACUACAAAAUCUGCUUGGUCAUUCUUGUGCUUAAGUACAAAAACAAAGAAGAGGCCCAAGUCCUAGGCAUUGGUGAGGGCAUCCAGCUUCUCAAUUGGGGCCAUGGACUAUGGCAGAAUGAUCAUGGGCGGAGGUUGGGGGGCAGCUGCAUCUUUGAUCAGCAUAACCUUGGCAUGUCCCACUCCAGCUCCAUCGAUUCCUGCAUCCUUAGUCGGAAUGACCUCAGCUUCUUCAACCUUGUC
RNAcentral lists this long non-coding RNA (292 nucleotides) under Elaeis guineensis (African oil palm). RNAcentral's name for it is "long non-coding RNA (EGUI_LNC073069)". The record is from RNAcentral. Lineage: Eukaryota; Viridiplantae; Streptophyta; Magnoliopsida; Arecales; Arecaceae.